Molecule: ribosomal RNA, 253 nt
Filed under: uncultured bacterium
Lineage: Bacteria
Description: partial 16S ribosomal RNA
Rfam family: Bacterial small subunit ribosomal RNA
Source: RNAcentral
UACGUAGGGGGCAAGCGUUGUCCGGAUUUAUUGGGCGUAAAGAGCGUGUAGGCGGCCACACAGGUCUGCUGUGAAAACUCGAGGCUCAACCUCGAGCUGUCGGUGGAAACCGUGUGGCUAGAGUCCGGAAGAGGAGAGUGGAAUUCCCGGUGUAGCGGUGAAAUGCGCAGAUAUCAGGAGGAACACCGGUGGCGAAGGCGGGUCUCUGGGCCGAUAUUGACGCUGAGGAGCGAAAGCGUGGGGAGCGAACAGG